This is a long non-coding RNA of Nelumbo nucifera (sacred lotus), 6507 nucleotides long. RefSeq lists it as uncharacterized. The record is from RefSeq and is a predicted model, not a curated record. Lineage: Eukaryota; Viridiplantae; Streptophyta; Magnoliopsida; Proteales; Nelumbonaceae.
UACACUACAAGAACCUUAAAAACUUUAAAAUUUUCCAACAAUAUCCAAUUGACAUAUUAACAGUACAAGCCAUUGGUAAUGAUAGUUGUCUUCCUUUUGGGUAUUCAACUUUGGAAUAUUUCUUGAGUUCCUUCACCACUCCCUGCGAGUCAGGCAUUAGAGUGUUACUGUUAGCAAUAGUUUUUUAUUCAAUAGAUGUGUUAAAAUAUUAAUUUCUUUCGUUACAAAUCAAACAAAUACCUUGAUGCCUCCAAUUAAUCAAACAAAUACCUUAAUUACAAAUUAUUCAUCAACUAGAGAAAAAAUCUUUAGAUCAUUCUUCUCCUAGGGGUUGAUUGUAGAAAGAAUAAAACCUUGACAAUCUUAUUUGUACCUUUCUUUCAAAUUUCAUAUUGAUUUGAGGAAUUAUGUUUUGUUAAGCUAAAAACCCAAAGGUUGGACUAGGCCAUAGGUCAAGUUGAGCUUUGGGUUAACCCUCAAGUAGCCUAAUUGCAGCCGUGGAUAGGGAACAUCUCCCCAUGAAUGAAAAAAUAUAAGUAUGGGGAUGUCCCAAAUGCAUGGCUAYAAGUGYUGUGAGGACAAUGUAAGGACAAAUUUUGUGAAGACUGAAUCUGGUCUCUACUGUAAGUAGCAUAUGAGGCUUAUGCAGUUUACACCUUGAUGCUUUCCUUGAGAUGGGCUCAAAGAAAAUACCUCAAGACUCAUGAGGCACAUCCUUCACACCUUGGGAUGUCUUGUUCAUGUAAAUGUGAACAAGUGGAAUUAAAUCCUCCCCACUCUGCACCCACCCAAUGGAAUUAAAUCUGCCAGUCAUGAUCCUUAUCUUUACCAAGCACAAGUGCAUCAAAAAAUCUCACAAUACCAGGAAUAUCAGCACCCCAUAUCUAACAAAUUCCCUAAAGAAACACGCACCAAACCAUUCUUUUUCAACCUCUCAUCUCUAACAAUAUAGCAACACGCCACUAUGUUACUGCACAUAUUUGCAGUACUUCUGUUCCAACAAAACUAUCUAUAAACAGGGAGUUCCACAAGACUAGAUUGAAGGACAAGACUAAUUUCUUUCAAAAAUAUAGUUCGUUCAUUCCACCAAAAGUUGAAGUACAUUUCUUUAACAUAAUAAACACCCAACAUAGAUUGGUUUUCCAGAAUCCAACCUGUUAUACUCACUACAGCAAUAGAUAUCUUGAAGGACCAUUACCAGGAUGGUGUAGAUUCCCUUUCAACAGUCUUUGUUUUCACUUGCCUUUUGAAAAUUUAGUUAGUCUAAUAGAAAAAAUUGCUAUACUAGAAUAGCAUAAGUUUGCAUUGAACCCUAGCUCCCAGAAAACCUUAAAGAAUCAAAGUUGGCACUUGGUUUGAUUGCUUAGAUGUCAGCUUUAGAAUGUGGGUAGUACUAAUAAGCAACAUUUAUAGUAUGGGUGACUUGAACAAUAAAGCUAAUGCUUGUAGGUAGGGUGAGGCUUGAAUGGAAGCGGUCUCUUUGAAAGACAGAGAGAGGCCGGUGAGUAGAGAGGUUGACUCUUGUGGUUAAGAGUAUUAGGGGUAGGGAAUUCGGAAGUGAGGUACAAUCGAGUAUUGAGUGUUGGGUAUUGAAUGCUGAAUGCUGAGUAUCGAAUGAAUUUCAAUACGAUGAGGAUCUUUAUUUACGGGGGAGGUCCCAAGAUCCUAAAAGGUAGGAGAUAAAGGUGCUUGUUUCCUAUCGGGAAAGGGAAUCUUGGAUUUGUUGUCAAUCAUUAAGUGCACCAUUAGGGUUUCUCCACAUGUCUCAUGAGGAUUUUCCUGAGGAUUGACCUUCCUUCCCCUCAAGAUCCCUUAUUACUCACGUGUGCUACUACUUCUCGUGCGUUUUAUUUUAAUUGAUGUUGCAUUAGCGACGUCACUGCCAAGCGGGCGGUAUUUUGUUAAUCCUACGUGGCGUUUCGUCAUGUAUUCUUGAUGGGCUGUGGAACUAUUGUGGAUUUGGGCACGUGUGGGCCUCGCUGUGGGUUCAUCCCAGGUCUCUCUUGGCUUGGGUAGCGAAUGGGCUUGUAGGCGUGCGAUGAACUGCGGGUUCGUCGUGAUUUUGCGAUGCGCUCUGUGAGUUCAUUGUAGAACCUGUGGUGCGUUGUGGGUUCAUCGUAGUGGAAGGUUGACUGUGGGCUGUUCGCAUGCAAUCCUAUGAUGUUAGUUUAGUGUUUAAUGUUCUUCGAGGGUCUGAGCGGACACUAUAUACCUACAUUAACUCCCCUACUUAUCGGUAAGUGGGAACUUAUUGAUAAGCACUUUGCCUUCUUGUUUUUGGGUUUUGUAAUGGGUUCACUUGUGUGCGUUGGGUUUGGAGAUUUUCCCUGUUUUAUAGCUUUGUGUAAAUCUUGUAUGCCUUAUGUUCGUGGUGGUAGUUUCUUACAUUCCAUGGUUAGCCCCCCGUCUUUUGAUGAUUUCYUUCCYGUCAAUGGUUAGUGCUAUGUGCUCUGUUUGUAUGUUUCAGCCCCCCGACCGUUGAUGGGAAGGAAAUUGGAAAGACACUGAGAGUUACUUCUACCAMUCAUUUUCUUUCUACCAAUGGGCAAGCUUGUAUAAAUUUUAGCCCCCUUGGCUAUUGGUGUGGAGGUAUCGGUUGGGGCGUCAAGCUGCCGCCCCCCCACCCCCCAAAGUGUGAUAUCAUUAAUGGCUUAGCAGGGGCGGAGCCCCCCCUGUGUGGUGGUCUGACAUGCCGUUCAAUUCCUAGUGUUUGUCAUGGUGAAUGAUUCGAUGGCGUAUCAAAUUCUGUUAAUGAUGGAAACCGGGGUAGCCUUUCGGACAUGGCGCCUCUUUUUGAAUUAAUGCGCCGUUUUAACCUGCCUUUUGAAGGGUACUUUUGAAUUUAUGGGGUUACUUUUGGUCAAGCAUCGGCUGGGGUCACGYGCUUGCACCAAUUCGUCUUCCCUGGUGAUCAUUCCCAAUACGUGGGAACCAUGUUAAAAAGGGGGAAACUAUUCUGUUCUCAUCGACUUGCUGUGUUCUCCACAUCUCCUUAUACGCUUAGCAACUUUUUCCUUUUUUGCAAUCCGCUUUUCGUUCAUGGCUCCCUGUCAGCGAAGGGUAGAGGAGGCUGGGAAAGAGAUGAAGAAGAGUGUAGGGAAAAGGACUGAAUGUCCCUUCCCUGACUUUGUUAGGGAAGUGGAUACGAUGAAACUUAUAACUAAAAGGGAGGAGGCUACGAUGGCGGAUGGUGGCAGGGCUUUUUGGCCACCGAUGCUGGUGUGUAGAGGCGAGGGAGGGACCUUCGAUGUUAUUGCUAGCACGGAAUUAAUGUGUUUGUGUGACCAUCCCGAGCGUUCUGUGUCCUACAAAUGUCAGGAGCCUCGGACCGAUGGUUCGAGGUCUGCUAACAACUACACUGCUUGGACGCAAUUUAUCCUCGAGAGCUCCAUGUAUUUCCGCAUGUUGCAGGACUUCAGGCUCCUCAGGUUUGUAGAUUGCUAUACGAAUCUUUCUGGUAGGAAGGGGGUUAAGUACGUUAGGCACCUUCUGGAGCAUUGGUGUUGCCGCACUCAUACCUUUGUGGGUGUGUUCGGGGAGUUCACGGUUACCGUUGAGGAUGUGGCCGCUUUGGUGGCUUUGCCCGUUGGGGGCGUUUUGUCAGCUCAUCAUUUGCAACACAUUGAAUCCAUUCCGGCAGAUUUGAGGGAUCUCUAUGACGAGCUGCUUGGGGAGAUUGCGGCUUACAAGGUUAUAGUUAGAUCGGUCCACUKCUCGAGAAAGAUGCCGUUGGAGGCCUGCUUGAAUACUGGUUCGAGUCCCAUGGUCGGAGGGACGUGAUGGUCUGGGGUGCGGAUACGCAGUGUCAUCUCGCCUUCUACAUUUUGUAUGUGGCUUCACAAUUACAUUUUGUACGAGCAGAUGGAUGACAUUGUUCAACAGAUGAUGGACCCCUCCUGUAAGAGGCACAUUAGCUACAUUACAUUUGCGUGCCAUUUCUAUGGAGGUUCCUGUGUGAACGCUUUGACCACAGCGUCACACCCGGUCGCCUAUCUCUGAUGCGCGUUCAAGUCACCACUAUGGAGGGGGGUAGCUUUGAAGAAAACGUGUUUGAAGCCUAUAGAGGAAAGCACUAGCUCUAGGCCAACAGGCAAAAGGAUUUUAAAAUAAGUGACAUCGACGUCAGGCUGUCUUCGCUCGACGGAUUUGUGUGGAGGCCGUACACACAAGCCGUGUGGCAUUCUAUGCCUUUCUGUGUUGGUAUGCCGGUUCCAGAGGACAGUGAUCAGCAGUGCGCCGUCGAUGCGAAGAGCUCUGCCGUAGGCAUAGCGUGACUAAUAACUUGGCCUUGCUCCAUUGCAUACCUCGAUCGUGCGGGGAUGCUCAACUCAGCGUUUAUCGACCGGAUCGAGUACUUCGUCAAUUUGACUACGAUGACAUGGGUGCUCAGUUUCUGAGAUCUGCCAGGGAAGGCGUCUUCUGGACUCGGCAACAUGAGUUGGCCUUCCUUGGGUGCACACGGUUCCCCGUCGCAGGUUUUGCGCGGGUGUAGGGUUGUGCUUCCCUCCGGCUUUCUUAUCUCUGUGCGCUUUUCGGGGGUUUCCAGGAGUUGUGCGCAGGCUCUAGUCUCCGUCACGUCAAGGGUCCCCUUGAAGGUCAUGCCGCUAACCAGGGAAAUAGUCCCGCCGCUCCCUUGUCGCCCGUGCCACAGAGAACGAUGACAAAGCGCGAUGGGAAACGUCCAGCAGAUGAGGGGGAGAGUAGCCGUCCGCCGGUGAUAAGGCCAUGAUCCUUGAGGGUGCCUCGUCAGACUCUCCCGUGUUCCAUUCAGCCACCAGUUGUGCCUCAGGCUGCAGCAUCAGACAUGGCUUCAUUUAAUGACCGGGAGUAUCGGUCYAAGGUCAUGGAGGAUCCCUCUGCUCCAACACCCGGGAGCGAUGAUGACUCGAAUGUGGGCUUCGCGCAAUCGGCAAUUGCGAUCCCACCACAAAGGGUCACAUGUGUCCAUUUUUCGAGCAAGCUGCGUGAAGAAAAUGGCUCCCCAACCUCGAAAGAGGGCGCCGGGGGAGGAAGAUUCGUCUGUUGAGACUCGCGACACUCCAUCGGGCGCGGGGCUUCCGGCAGUUCCUUCGGAUACGGCAAACUUGUCUUUUGUUUUGAAGUGCGUAGACGCGGACGAGGCUCAACUAGGUUGCUAUUUUGUUGAUAUACUGCUUGUGCCUCGCUUGAAUCCAUUGCACUGGUUGUUCGUUUUACCCUAUAGCAUGCCUCGUUUCCUGCGGGUAUCUCCGAUGUGCCGACCACGCUUGUUAUCAAGCGGUUAGUGGAGGACCUGACAUCAUCGCAGCCCCCCAAUCAUGAUCUUAGGGCUGCUGAGGGUGCUGAGGGUGGCGAUGCUGCUCCUGAUGCUGUGGUGCGGGAGGUAGGCUAGGUGGUCGCAGACACGAACCCAACCAUUCGUCGUGAAGAAGUCUUUGCUGCCCCACCUGUCGAGCCUGAUGCCUCUGCGGAUGUAAGAGUCAGGACUGAUGCCGAGCCAGAGACCUCUGUUGCGGGGGUUGGUGCCCCUGAGGGCCUGGGAAAUCAGCCUGGGGACGAGUGUGUGGAACCUGGGGUUAAUGCUUUUGUUGAGCUAGAGGCCCCAGUUGGGGAGUUUGGUGUCUCCCGUAACUUGGAGCAUCAGUUAGGGGACGGGGACAGGGGAACCUGGGAUUGUCUUUCUGCCUGAGGAGUUGACUGAUGAAGAUUUGUUGGUUCGGAUACGACAGGAGCUUAUGGAGUAUUGCGAUAAUCAUGACAUCCCGUCUACAUUACUCGGUUGUGGAUCCUGUUUCAGUUCAGGGCCAUCGUAAGGGCGUCCAAUACAGCGUAUCUAGCUUAGUGGCACAGUUUGCUUUGAUUACCAUACGGAUUGGGUGGUUGCCAGAGGGAGAUCUACAUCCCGAAGUCGUGUGAUGACCCGCACAGUUGAGGAGUUUUCAUGGUCCGAUUUUGCCCACUGGCUGGAGGCUUGCCGAGGGUUUUUUUGGAAUGGGCUUCUUUAUGACACAGAUCGAGGAGCGUGUUGUCAUAUUAGCCCAUGYUUUUUGGAAGGCUGGUCCGGAGGUAUCGCGAUCUGUCUUGUUCUGUUCUCUAAAUGAUGCGCACCUUCGCCGAAAGGUUGUUGAGGUGAAAAUAGCGAAAACGAUGGAGAAGCUUGAGUUGCUAAUGGAUGAAUGUGCCCGUCGGCGGAGUUGAAAGACUUCCGGUAUUUUGAAGAAUGUAGCUGGGUUUCGGAAGUUAUAAAGGACAGGAGGGAGGAAUGGGCUAAGUGAUGAACAUUUACUUUUGAUGUAAAGAAAGAGAAAAAAAAAAAAACUUAUGGAUUUUGUGUGUAACAAAAAUCUAAUUUGUAAAAAAUGGUAAAGAGGGYUGAUUGUUGGCUCGUCGCAAGGGUUGUUGGAUUUUAAUGGGGAUUCGGGACGUUGCGGUGUGCAGUGUUUUUAGAGAAUGGGAAGUUAACGGCUAUUGCUCAUAGGUUGCCAGGGUAAAGGGCUGACUAUCCUUGAGCCUUAUCGUCUUGAAAUA